UGACUCUCACGGUGACUCCGAC
RNAcentral lists this small nuclear RNA (22 nucleotides) under Arabidopsis thaliana (thale cress). RNAcentral describes it as "snRNA_18546". The record is from RNAcentral. Lineage: Eukaryota; Viridiplantae; Streptophyta; Magnoliopsida; Brassicales; Brassicaceae.